Esox lucius (northern pike) is the source of this 444-nucleotide long non-coding RNA. NCBI's taxonomy places the organism in Eukaryota, Metazoa, Chordata, Actinopteri, Esociformes, Esocidae. The record is from Ensembl.
GCGGGACUAUUUGAAUAACUGCGCGCACAAUCCGCGAAAAUAAAUUAUUUAGCUUUCUGCCUGAGAAGUUUGGGUCUUCCCCAGUGUGGUUGCAAAUAUUUCACUUGGAAAUAGUUUAUUCUUCAGGUUUAACGUCGAUUGUCGUGUUGUAAGAACCAACUUGAGGACAAUGGCGUGUCCUGCUGAGACAAGAAAAAGGCACAUUAGCGAUUUCUUUUCUCCAGCCAAGAGGAGUUCAGCUAACCUUUCAGACAACCUGCCAGAAACUCCUAGCACUUCUCCAGAACCUGAUACCAAGCACUGCCUUAACCCUCUUGGGCAUGGAGUUCACCAGAGCUUCACAGGUUGCCACUGGAGUCCUCUUCCACUCCUCCAUGACGACAUCACAGAGUUGGUGGAUGUUAGAGACCUUGCGCUCCUCCACCUUCCGUUUGAGGAUGCCCC